Molecule: ribosomal RNA, 518 nt
Filed under: uncultured Streptomyces sp.
Lineage: Bacteria; Bacillati; Actinomycetota; Actinomycetes; Kitasatosporales; Streptomycetaceae
Description: bacterial SSU rRNA
Rfam family: Bacterial small subunit ribosomal RNA
Source: RNAcentral
CAAGCCCUGGAAACGGGGUCUAAUACCGGAUAUGACAUACGGCCGCAUGGUCUGUAUGUGGAAAGCUCCGGCGGUGCAGGAUGAGCCCGCGGCCUAUCAGCUUGUUGGUGGGGUGAUGGCCUACCAAGGCGACGACGGGUAGCCGGCCUGAGAGGGCGACCGGCCACACUGGGACUGAGACACGGCCCAGACUCCUACGGGAGGCAGCAGUGGGGAAUAUUGCACAAUGGGCGAAAGCCUGAUGCAGCGACGCCGCGUGAGGGAUGACGGCCUUCGGGUUGUAAACCUCUUUCAGCAGGGAAGAAGCGCAAGUGACGGUACCUGCAGAAGAAGCACCGGCUAACUACGUGCCAGCAGCCGCGGUAAUACGUAGGGUGCGAGCGUUGUCCGGAAUUAUUGGGCGUAAAGAGCUCGUAGGCGGCUUGUCACGUCGGAUGUGAAAGCCCGGGGCUUAACCCCGGGUCUGCAUUCGAUACGGGCAGGCUAGAGUUCGGUAGGGGAGAUCGGAAUUCCUGGUG